This 224-nucleotide ribosomal RNA is filed under the name Shouchella rhizosphaerae. RNAcentral's name for it is "partial 16S ribosomal RNA". It matches the Rfam family "Bacterial small subunit ribosomal RNA", at positions 60 to 274 of the family's 1533-position model. The record is from RNAcentral. Lineage: Bacteria; Bacillati; Bacillota; Bacilli; Caryophanales; Bacillaceae.
AGUCGAGCGGACAGAAGGGAGCUUGCUCCCGGACGUUAGCGGCGGACGGGUGAGUAACACGUGGGCAACCUGCCCCUUAGACUGGGAUAACUCCGGGAAACCGGAGCUAAUACCGGAUAAUCCCUUUUUCCACCUGGAGAGAGAGUGAAAGAUGGCUUCGGCUAUCACUAGGGGAUGGGCCCGCGGCGCAUUAGCUAGUUGGUAAGGUAACGGCUUACCAAGGC